CGCCCUUUGGGGUGAGGUAGUAGGUUGUAUAGUUUGGGGCUCUGCCCUGCUGUGGGUUAACUAUACAAUCUACUGUCUUUCCUGAAGUGGCUG
Ictidomys tridecemlineatus (thirteen-lined ground squirrel) is the source of this 93-nucleotide microRNA precursor. Lineage: Eukaryota; Metazoa; Chordata; Mammalia; Rodentia; Sciuridae. The record is from Ensembl.